Molecule: unclassified non-coding RNA, 387 nt
Filed under: Tuber borchii (whitish truffle)
Lineage: Eukaryota; Fungi; Ascomycota; Pezizomycetes; Pezizales; Tuberaceae
Source: RNAcentral
CUGAACGCCUCUAAGUCAGUAAAAGAGGUACAAAUCUUUAUUGGGUUUGCAAAUUUCUACCGAAGAUCCAUAAAAAACUUCUCUGGAAUAUGUAAACCAAUAACCGAUACCCUAAAGAAUCAGGAGAAAGGGGUGAAAAAACCCUUUUACUGGGGGCAAGAGCAGGACAGAGCAUUCGAAGAGCUGAAAAGGAAAUUUACGACCGCACCAAUCCUAGCACAUUUCUACCCAGAUAGAAAAACGGUGGUAGAAACCGACGCCAGUAACUUCGCCCUAGGGUGUGUAUUAUCACAAUACCUUGGAAAACGACUACACCCAGUAGCGUUCCAUUCCCGAAAGCUCGACGAUGCCGAACGCAACUAUGAGAUCCACGGCCAUAGGACUCUG